UACAGAGACUGCAAGCGUUAUUCGGAUUCACUGGGCGUAAAGGGUGCGCAGGCGGCCAAGUGUGUGAGGCGUGAAAGCCCGGGGCUUAACCCCGGAAUUGCACCUCAAACUACUCGGCUAGAGCAUUGGAGAGGGUAGCAGAAUUCAUGGUGUAGCAGUGAAAUGCGUAGAUAUCAUGAGGAAUGCCAGAGGCGAAGGCGGCUACCUGGACAAUUGCUGACGCUCAGGCACGAAAGCGUGGGGAGCAAAAGGG
Molecule: ribosomal RNA, 253 nt
Filed under: uncultured bacterium
Lineage: Bacteria
Description: partial 16S ribosomal RNA
Rfam family: Bacterial small subunit ribosomal RNA
Source: RNAcentral